GAGGGUAUAGCUCAGGGCUAGAGCACAUGCUUAGCAUGCACAAGACCCUGGGUUCAAUCCCCAGCACCUCUA
This is a transfer RNA of Camelus ferus (Wild Bactrian camel), 72 nucleotides long. It matches the Rfam family "tRNA". From Rfam's summary of the family: Transfer RNA (tRNA) molecules are approximately 80 nucleotides in length. The record is from Rfam. NCBI's taxonomy places the organism in Eukaryota, Metazoa, Chordata, Mammalia, Artiodactyla, Camelidae.